This 690-nucleotide transfer RNA is filed under the name Ursus maritimus (polar bear). RNAcentral describes it as "lncRNA (ENSUMAG00000001239.1)". The stretch from base 65 to 136 matches the Rfam family "tRNA". The record is from RNAcentral. Lineage: Eukaryota; Metazoa; Chordata; Mammalia; Carnivora; Ursidae.
GUCAGGUUUACGUAGAGAUUUUUUUAACGUGGCAAAUAGGCUUCACGGACGCUGGCUUUCAGCUUCCCUGGUGGUCUAGUGGUUAGGAUUCGGCGCUCUCACCGCCGCGGCCCGGGUUCGAUUCCCGGUCAGGGAAAAGCUCUUUUGGCACUCUCACCGAAAAAUCUUGAGUUCUUACCUUUUUUUUGGGUACAGCAUCAGGUUAUUUCCCUGUUCUUCAAAGCACCUGCGGGUUGUUGGCACAGAAGAGAAUGUAAACAUUGGGUCCCACUUGCUGGAGCACUGAUUCGGAGGAGAUUCUGCUUUGAAGUGAGAACUGAAAGUCCAAGAGUAGAAAUGCUUCCCUAGAGAUUGAGUGCCCCGUAAAGAGGCAAGGUUUGCCGGCUUGACUUCUACUAGACGAGGACAAAGAAAGUCUGAAGGAGAAGAGUCAGUACAAGCCAGAGUCAAAGAAGCCAAAGAAGAAAAAGUCUAGAAAUUGCAGUGUACGUAUUAAUAGCAUAAAGGAUAUUUCUCGUUUGGUUAAUUUUUUAAUGGAGUUUUAUUUUAUUUAGUCUUGGUGUCAUCCUCAUUGUGUUUCACCUAUACUAUUGCUAUUUUUAGUCAAAUAAGUACACUUUUCCUAAAUAAUAUUGUCACUUAGACACAGCAGUACUGUAUCACAUUACCUACACACAGCGCAAAGUUGCC